RNAcentral lists this long non-coding RNA (286 nucleotides) under Rhipicephalus sanguineus (brown dog tick). RNAcentral describes it as "uncharacterized LOC119376026". The record is from RNAcentral. Lineage: Eukaryota; Metazoa; Arthropoda; Arachnida; Ixodida; Ixodidae.
UGGUGCAUUGAAAACUUGCUCCAGUAGUGCAUUGCCAGUGCACUAUGCUGCUGUUUCAUCAAGGAGAAAGGAGGUGACCAGCCCGAGAGGAACUUCAUGCUCUACAGUAUGCCUACGGAGAACACCUCAAGGCGCAUCCAAGCAACGUCCUUGAGGCACAGCGCCACCGGAAUCUCAAUCGCCAUUUGGGGGACCUGCUUAAAGUCCUUAAGAAAUGAUUCCACUGUGAGGCUUUCAAAACGGCAUGAAUAUUAAUUUUAUUCAUUAUAAAGUUUUCAUUUUUAAA